Bos taurus (domestic cattle) is the source of this 594-nucleotide long non-coding RNA. The record is from Ensembl. NCBI's taxonomy places the organism in Eukaryota, Metazoa, Chordata, Mammalia, Artiodactyla, Bovidae.
CCAGAAUUUAGUCAUAUACCAAUACCUGGAAAAUGUAAUAUCUAUGGGUGGUGCUAGUGGCAAAGAACCUCCCUGCCAACAAAGGUAGAGAACACCAUGGACAGAGGAGUCUGGCGGGCUACAGUCCACAGCGUCGCAAACAUCAGACAAGACUGAAGGAACCUAGCAUGCAUUCCAAGCAAAGAGGUAUCAAACAAAAAAUUCUGAUCUACUUCUGCAAAGGAAGGUGGGGGAAGAGUUCACUGGGAGCCAGUAGGCACGAGGGAGAGGCACAUAAGCCUUCGGCCCCUGUGGCUGCUUAGAGCUUGUUGUGGUCUGCACACCCAUCUCUGCCAGGCCCGAGCUUCUGUAAUGGACUAAUCUGAUCCUAGGAUACCCCUGCUGCAGUCAAUAGCAGCCCUCGCCCUGGGAUUGCUCCAUAAUCCCGAAACUCCAGCUCCCAGCUGUUGUGCCUUCUGGUGACCUGUGUUCCUGUCUGGGGUAUGUACGGCUGCGGCAAGGACUGUCUGAUUCUCAUUCCAUUUAGGCUGCCACAGAUCAGCUGUUUCACUCUCAGCCUUAGAUGUUUCUCCUCUGACUCAGACAGUUGCCCAG